AUGCACCAAAAGACUCCAAAAACGCUCCAUUAAUUCUAGAUUUUCUUCAUCAAACGCUCAUUCUGGGUUAGAGAUCGUCUCUAGAUCCGUGUCGACGGACACGGAACACUGCUGCAGACCCGCGUGUUCUUUCCGCAACACCUGUUGACGUGCUGGAAGGCCUCGCUGAGGCUGCGUAACUGGCGACACGCGUCGCCGCUUGAACAGCGUUCCUAGCAGUAAGCUCGUUUCCAAUUGAUCGGUUUCAUGGAACUGCAAUUCAGACCGAGUACCGUUGCCUAAAACGAGCACUCGUUUACCUGGCUCCGCCCUAUGGAUGUCUUUUCGUGAAAACGCGCGUCCACAAGCGCCCACUGCCUUGUUCGCGCGCUUUACGCUUGAUGCCCAGCGAGGUGAACGAGCUCAGCACGUCCGCUCUGUAACCAGGUGACAUAGACCCGGUGCUCAGCGUCCCGAACAUGCAGCUCUUUCACAUUGAGCGAUACCAGGGGGCCGUGAAACACCUGUGCGGCCUGGUUGUCGGCCUGGGCCUCGGGGGAGCCGCUCGCGAGCCCCACGUAGACAGCCCCCGAGGUACUGCCCUUGGGUAGGACUCGAACCGCGACCUGGUCGCCUCUGUGCAACUGCAUACCGCGAUAGAAGAGCGUGCCCCGGGAGACAAACGCAUCGGGGUCACCGCCGACGGGAAACUCAGGCAUAGGGAUCGGCUUUUCGUCAGCAGGUACCGCUGUUACCGCUGAAGGUUGCGCGGCAGCGAUAUCCGGUGUUCCAGGGCUCAGCGCUGUACCUGGGUGCCCAGCGUCACCGGUGUUCACACGAGGCUCAGAAACCUGCGGAGUACGUGGAGACGCUGAACGCUCCGGUGCAUUAUCCGGCACUGGAGCGGGAGCGACCGCCUCCACCGCAAACUGGUUCGCUUCGCGUGUCGAAGCAUGCUGCGUCUGCAGCGGGGCAGCAGCACCUGCGACUCGUCCAGAGGAGGUAUCGCUCUUCGCCACGGACGAGUCUGGCGCUUUGUCUGCCGCUGAUUCGUUGGGUGCAGAUUCCGAUUUCAGCGGUCUCGUCAUCGCAGGAGAGGACGCUAGAGAGCGCCCGGCUUGUUCAGCGUUGUGCUCGAAGCCUGGAUGUACCGUACUGGAGACAGUUCCUACAUUCGAUCGCGGAGCAGCGGUAGAACUCGAAGACGACGAUACGUCGUUUUCGGGCUCCGGUGGUGGGUGCACUGGCCUCUUGUCCCUGGCCGAUGUUGGCGGUUUGCGUACCUUGUUCGUGCUGGGCCGCGGCGGCACCCCGGCGUUGGAGCCACGAUCACCAGCACCAGUGGGUUCCAGCGGGGGCCGCUUCCGAGGUCGACCACGCUUCCCCGUUGAACGUGCAUCCGAUGAGGUACCAGCGUCGUGUGCGCCUGCCGAGCCUCGUGCUGCUUUCGGUGCAGCAACAUGUCCGGACGUUGGCGUAGUAGAAGCAGCAGUAGCAACAGUAGUAGUAGCAGAGCGUCCGACGGCGCCAGUCCGCGGCUGCUCCGGCGGCAGUUCUCGAGUCGCAUUCCCGGGCCGUGCUCCCAAGCGGUGUGCGGGUUGGUCGCGCUGUACCAGACCAACCGCUAGACGAGAGCGCUGUUUCUGGUCAUUCCAGUCGAUACCCAAGUCACCGGCAGCAGACAACGAACCGUUUCCGAUGGCUGCCGUGCCAGCUGCUGGAGCUCGGUGCGCGCUCGACUGGGUCCCGGUCUCGGCGAUGCUGCUGCGCUCGUGCGAAUGUCGAGCUCCAGUGGACUGCCGGUUAGAGGCGCGAGCCCGAGCGCCCGUUUGGCGACCAGUUGGACCGCUCGGUGCUCGACCGGCGCUGGUCAGCAGCUGGCCGUCUGUAGCGGUUUCGUUUCCAGAGGCACCAGGGGCGCGCCCAGCAUGCGCGUUGCCCGCCUUAGCUCUACGACGCAAGGCGGUGAUCGCUCGCUGGACUUCACGGAGGUCGUCGGAAGCCUCGCCAGGCUCCAGACCCAGACUCACUGGACGACGUUCCAGCAGCAAGAGGCUCUCUUCUGGCGUCAGGUUCGCAGCCGUACCCAUUGCAGCCGGGGAAGCGCCUCGUGGGCGUGCGGGUAACAGUUGAUAGGGGACACCAGCAAAACCCGGUGGAAUCAUAACCGGCGGUUGGCCGAAAAGCACCAUAGGAUCCCGGUCCAGCUGACAAGCGAUUCGAUACCGUCGUUGUCGUUGAAACGCUGCUUCCAGCAGGCGCUCUCGAAGCGACUCCUCCGCCACCAGGUACUGGUGCUCGACUUCCCGGAAACGAGCUUGCGCGUACUUGUGCAAAUACGCUUGCUGUAGUUCAAAGUUCCGUUGGAUUCGAUUUUCUAAAGCAUAUCGCCGUC
RNA transcript from Cyanidioschyzon merolae strain 10D, 2374 nucleotides. RefSeq lists it as hypothetical. The transcript has a single exon. The record is from RefSeq and is a predicted model, not a curated record. Lineage: Eukaryota; Rhodophyta; Bangiophyceae; Cyanidiales; Cyanidiaceae.